CCCUUAUAUAUAUGGAUCAUAUAGAAUUUUUUACAUUUGGAGGCACAUUUUGUCUUAUCAAUUACACUGCAGGACACAAUGUGCUUGUAAGACACUUUCUAGUGUUAAAAAGACCAAAAACUCCCUAACUGAAAAAAUCUGUACAUUAACACUUUUUUACUUUUUUUCUUGUUUCUCUCAUUCUUUCAACGUGACUUUAUCCAAAUUUCAUCUUCCAAUUAUUCUAUCACUUCUUUUUUUUUUCUCUCCCUAACACAAAAGAAAAAAGGCGAACUGAAAGACUACCGUUUGUAAAAAAAUGAAAAGAUGUAGAAAAAAAGAAGAAGUGUGUUGUGGAUUUCAAAAUCCAGAUCUGCAAAGUUACGAUUUCAGAAUCCAGAUCUGUAAAAGAUGUGGACGGAUAGCGUGUGGAUGGGGUUGCGUGGAUAAGUGGUGUGUGGAUAGAUGAAGCGUGGAUGUGUUAUGUGUGGAUGGUUGAAUAGAUCUCUAGGAACUAGUGGGUGGCUUCAACCUGGAAAAUUUUAUCCACAAAGAAGAUUAUCUUUCUUACAUUUUCUACAUCGAACACAAACUAUAAAUUCAUAUAUUUGAUGAAAUCUAAUUAUCACUUUUUAAAUUAUAUCCACAUUUUCUUUGUCUAUAAUUCAUUCAUUUAUAUUUUUUUUCUUGUGGAUGGCUUAUCCAUCCAAUACUAUCUAAAAUAUUUUAAUUAUAAAAUCAUUUUCUAUGUUUUUA
Long non-coding RNA from Brassica rapa (field mustard), 735 nucleotides. RefSeq lists it as uncharacterized. NCBI's taxonomy places the organism in Eukaryota, Viridiplantae, Streptophyta, Magnoliopsida, Brassicales, Brassicaceae. The record is from RefSeq and is a predicted model, not a curated record.